UACGAAGGGGGCUAGCGUUGUUCGGAAUCACUGGGCGUAAAGGGCGCGUAGGCGGCCGCUCAAGUCGGGGGUGAAAGCCUGUGGCUUAACCACAGAAUUGCCUUCGAUACUGUUUGGCUUGAGACCGGAAGAGGUGAGUGGAACUGCGAGUGUAGAGGUGAAAUUCGUAGAUAUUAGGAAGAACACCAGUGGCGAAGGCGGCUCACUGGUCCGGUACUGACGCUGAGGUGCGAAAGCGUGGGGAGCAAACAGG
RNAcentral lists this ribosomal RNA (253 nucleotides) under uncultured bacterium. RNAcentral's name for it is "partial 16S ribosomal RNA". It matches the Rfam family "Bacterial small subunit ribosomal RNA", at positions 524 to 776 of the family's 1533-position model. The record is from RNAcentral.